This 497-nucleotide ribosomal RNA is filed under the name uncultured bacterium. RNAcentral's name for it is "partial 16S ribosomal RNA". It matches the Rfam family "Bacterial small subunit ribosomal RNA", at positions 28 to 507 of the family's 1533-position model. The record is from RNAcentral.
GAUGAACGCUGGCGGCGUGCCUAAUACAUGCCAGUCGAGCGAACAGACGAGGAGCUUGCUCCUCUGACGUUAGCGGCGGACGGGUGAGUAACACGUGGAUAACCUACCUAUAAGACUGGGAUAACUUCGGGAAACCGGAGCUAAUACCGGAUAACAUAUUGAACCGCAUGGUUCAAUAGUGAAAGACGGUUUUGCUGUCACUUAUAGAUGGAUCCGCGCCGCAUUAGCUAGUUGGUAAGGUAACGGCUUACCAAGGCGACGAUGCGUAGCCGACCUGAGAGGGUGAUCGGCCACACUGGAACUGAGACACGGUCCAGACUCCUACGGGAGGCAGCAGUAGGGAAUCUUCCGCAAUGGGCGAAAGCCUGACGGAGCAACGCCGCGUGAGUGAUGAAGGUCUUCGGAUCGUAAAACUCUGUUAUUAGGGAAGAACAAAUGUGUAAGUAACUAUGCACGUCUUGACGGUACCUAAUCAGAAAGCCACGGCUAACUACGUG